UACGUAGGGGGCAAGCGUUGUCCGGAAUCAUUGGGCGUAAAGCGCGCGUAGGCGGCCCGGUAAGUCCGCUGUGAAAGUCGGGGGCUCAACCCUCGGAUGCCGGUGGAUACUGUCGGGCUUGAGUACGGAAGAGGCGAGUGGAAUUCCUGGUGUAGCGGUGAAAUGCGCAGAUAUCAGGAGGAACACCAAUUGCGAAGGCAGCUCGCUGGGACGUUACUGACGCUGAGGCGCGAAAGCGUAGGGAGCAAACAGG
Molecule: ribosomal RNA, 253 nt
Filed under: uncultured bacterium
Lineage: Bacteria
Description: partial 16S ribosomal RNA
Rfam family: Bacterial small subunit ribosomal RNA
Source: RNAcentral